This is a long non-coding RNA of Alligator mississippiensis (American alligator), 2678 nucleotides long. RefSeq lists it as uncharacterized. The record is from RefSeq and is a predicted model, not a curated record. Lineage: Eukaryota; Metazoa; Chordata; Crocodylia; Alligatoridae. The transcript is spliced from 3 exons.
UUUCAGCAAGAGCAGCCUUGUAGCAGGGAGGUCUCUGCUCAUUUUCAAUGCGUGUUUUAUGGCUUUAUUUAUUCUUUUUUUUUUUGUUACUAGCUCUCCAGGUAAUAAGCCCCUAUCUGGCUGGGGAGAGAGCGUAAUGGGGGCUCUGGCUGGAGAGGCAGAGAGCGGCUGAGCUGGACCCUCCUCCGACGGCAAGGGAAGCGUUCACUGCCCUGGUUGAAAAGCCCAUUGGGAGGCGGUCAGUGCUUUUGGGAGGCGACUGGCCCAUCCACUGCAGCCCUGGACAUGCGCCAUCACAAGUGGGAAGAAAAAGCGGAAAUCUUUUGCGAACCAGAUUUCAUCUCGAGUCGACCCGCACGCCUCCUUUUGAUCCGUUUGAAACCAUGCUCUCAUUGCCAGCUCUUUGCACUUGUUGCAUCUCUUCGAGCCUGCCUUUUGUUGCGUUUCUGAAUGGUUUGUUUGGAACCAAAGACCUGAAACUUGCUUCUAAUGAACUUUUUGCGCCUGCGCAUUCAUUUCCCCACAAGCCGUUUGGGUUUGAAUGGAUCGGCGGGUUUCAGCUCAAAAAGCAUCCCAUCCUGACCGCGUGGGUGGAAAGGCAGGGAGCGGAGCACCUCCUGGGGACCAGCCAGCACCGUUCCCGCAGUGCACCGAGUUUUCCUGGGAGUCUCCCAUUGAUUUGGAGAUGCCUACACUUGCUUUCAAAAUCACGGGGCCCUUUUUUGGAGAGCUCAGUUGCGGGGUCGGACAGAAGGUGGAAGAAGAGAUUGUACAAGCUACCCAACAGGGUUUCCAAUGCCCUUGUCCAAGUGCUGCUGCCAAGCCCUGAGCACGGGUGGAGAGUCACAGGAAAGGCUUCAGGCACAGACAACAUACAGAGACGUCGGCAGGUACUCCCGUGCAUCCCGGGUACACCUGUGGCUCGUGCGAACAGUGUAUCCGAACACCUCCAGCUCUUUGCAAUACUUUUCUCUUUCUCCCUAUUUGGCUGGGGAAGGCGGUUGGAAAAGCAAGAGAAAGGCCCGUGUCUUCUCCACCAGCGAUCCCCCAAGCCUUGCCCUUUCGCUGCCUGUUGUCAAGCAUUGCCUGCAAGGAAAAAUGCUGUGUGAGUUUAUAUUGGUGAGAUGUCUACGCUGCCCUUCCCCAACAAGGCUCAAAGCGGCUUAAAGUGCAAGACAAAACACCAUCGAAACAGAAUCAAAUAUUGGAAUAAGAAGGUGCCGCCAAAAACUGCGCCCCCUCACCUUCCAAAGCAGGCCAGCCCGUGCCACCCUCUCCGUCUCCCUUGGCCAGCGCGGUCUCUCCCCACCCCACAUUCACUUGCUUCAUCAGCGCAGGGCUGGCGCAGAGACUGAGCUCCCGAGUUCGUGCUCUGGGAAGCGAUCCGGGACGUUGCCAGGCCUGCGGCGUGGAAGUUGUCGGAGGGAGCUUGUUUCUCCGAGGCAGCCUUGCAAUCUGCAUGGGGACAGCACAGCCAUGAUGUAGGUGACUGGACCAAGGGCAACCUAGGCAGUCUGUGGCAGAGAAAGGAGCCGAACCCGCAGGCCCUGAGUCCAGAUUAGCACCCUCAUGACAUGAAGCUGUUCCUGUCCCCUGUAACAAUGGGGACUGCUGCUGUUGUAGACAGAAAGCCAGGUCCUAACAUGGGCCCAGCCCCAUGCUAGACCUUAAAGAUGAAGCCCAGGGUCUUGAGUUGUGUUUGGGGAUGAUAGGGGAGACCAUGCAAAGGAUGUGUGCCUGGAAGCUGGCCGGUCACGGGUCUCCGCAGCACAUGGGUCCCAGCUCAUGAGUGGUGGUAGUGACCAACAGCUCCGUCCUUUGAUCUGUGCUGGGGGUGUUUGUGGUUUUGGAUAGACACCAGCCCUACAAAACUCCCCGGGAUUAUCUCCAGCUUGCAGAAAAAUGCAUGCAGGUUCCUUACCGAGACCGUGCCCUGCUAUGCUUCCCCAUGGACAUGAGAGCAAAGCCCACCGGCUCCCUGCCAGAGCCUGCAAGCAGGUGGGGGCAGCCCGCCGCACCCUCAUUCGGGCUCCGCUUGGCUCUGGGCCCCUGCUCCCACCCCAAGACAGCUGCAUUCCCCAUGAUGCUGGAGGGGGUGGCACGUUCUCCCUCAUCUGGGUAUCUCCGCGGGCGUGACAUACCAGCUGGUGCACACGGGUCGCUGCGCGUGCCACGAGCCUGUACAGAAACCAGCCCAAGCAUUCAACGAGCUUAGAAGCCGGAGCAAUGGAGGGGGAAGAGAGAGAGAGCUCAUGAAUCUGCUCCAAACUGUAAUUACGGGACUCAGAACAGAUACCACCUGCCCAUUAAACCAAAUAAGUUUCCUUCCCAGCCCCCCGCUUCCCCCCGACCCCCUGCAACCGUCCCUCGAAAAGUCGACAGGAUGGAUCUGUCACUUUUUAAAUAUACCUGUCAAAUACCUUCUCCAUAUUUCUCCAGUAACGAUCUGUUAAGAGUCCCUUGCUCCGCCUCUCGCAGUAUUAAACCGUCAGGCACUGAGCUUUGGAGAGAUUAAGUCAUAAAAAUCGGAAGGGGCUGCGCGGUAACAGCCCCAGCCUGAGCCGUAACAGCAGUGAAAUCAUCCCCAAACUAUUUCAGCAAAGUCCAUUUCCAUUUCCAUUUAACACCUGACCACCACUCAAGAGUUACUCAACGAAAUAAAAAGCUCGUGUAUUGUU